RNAcentral lists this ribosomal RNA (402 nucleotides) under Salmonella enterica subsp. enterica serovar Hadar. RNAcentral describes it as "partial 23S ribosomal RNA". It matches the Rfam family "Bacterial large subunit ribosomal RNA", at positions 161 to 601 of the family's 2925-position model. Lineage: Bacteria; Pseudomonadati; Pseudomonadota; Gammaproteobacteria; Enterobacterales; Enterobacteriaceae. The record is from RNAcentral.
AAUCCAUAGGUUAAUGAGGCGAACCGGGGGAACUGAAACAUCUAAGUACCCCGAGGAAAAGAAAUCAACCGAGAUUCCCCCAGUAGCGGCGAGCGAACGGGGAGGAGCCCAGAGCCUGAAUCAGCAUGUGUGUUAGUGGAAGCGUCUGGAAAGGCGCGCGAUACAGGGUGACAGCCCCGUACACAAAAGCGCAUGUGCUGUGAGCUCGAUGAGUAGGGCGGGACACGUGGUAUCCUGUCUGAAUAUGGGGGGACCAUCCUCCAAGGCUAAAUACUCCUGACUGACCGAUAGUGAACCAGUACCGUGAGGGAAAGGCGAAAAGAACCCCGGCGAGGGGAGUGAAAAAGAACCUGAAACCGUGUACGUACAAGCAGUGGGAGCACCCUUUGGGGUGUGACUGCG